RNAcentral lists this unclassified non-coding RNA (917 nucleotides) under Zea mays. RNAcentral's name for it is "misc RNA Zm00001eb195590". Lineage: Eukaryota; Viridiplantae; Streptophyta; Magnoliopsida; Poales; Poaceae. The record is from RNAcentral.
CACUACUAUAUAUACCAAACAAAUUCGUUCGGAGGGGAGACCGGCAGGCCAUGGCUCGACGCCGCCCUUGAGUCCUGCCCCCAAGAUGACGAUGAUCCCCCUCGCCGGCUUCACCGCCCUAUCUGCCGCCGGCCUCCUGCUCAUCUUCUCCUCCUUCCUGCUGCAAACUCAAGGAGGAGCCAGAAGCAGCGAGGAGGAGCGGUACGUGCCGGUGCGCAGGGUGGUGUACCGGUCCAUGACACCGGCGGCGGCGAGUGCGGCGACGACGGCAGAGGCAGCGGCAGCGGCGGCAUCGUACGAGCCGUUCGAGGUGUGCGAGGGGUGCCGGUGCUGCGCGCCGUCGUCGUCGUCGUCCAACGGCAGCAGCAGCUGCGUGGACACGAGCUGCUGCUACGCCAUCGACUGCGACCUCCCCGGCAAGCCCUUCGGCACCUGCGCCUUCACCCCGCAAACCUGCGGCUGCGGCAGCAACUGCACCCAGCCCUCGUCCUGAUGAUGACUCAUCUUUCCUGCAACUUGGCUACUUCUUCUGGAUCAUCCAUCGUCUUACGUUACGUUACGACCUGAUGACAGAGGAUGACAUGAUUAGCUAGCACGCAGAUUAGAUGACUCACGUGUACUCGAUCAUGAUGGAUAGAUUAUCCAGUUAAUUCCCAGAUAGAGAGUUCUGCAUGAAGAUAAUAAUACAAUGAAUAAUAAUGUGUGUUCGUUUCAGAGGUUGCGAUUGCUGCUGUUGUUCGUUUCAGAGAAUUGUGACUGCAGUUGGUUCCAUUUUCAGAGUCGGCGGCUGCUGUUGGCUUGACUCUUGCGACACACCAAACUUGUACUGUCAGGGUCGGCGGCCUAACCUGUUGUCGUCGUAUACCUACUGUACGUUAGCUUGAGAAGCUUGUUUGCUUGGGGAAUGCAAAACCUAC